GGAAGGAUUUGGAGAGCGGAGGAAUGAAGGAGAGCAGAGAGGAGAGGCUUGGAGAUGAAGAAACCAAGGCCCAGGGACUUCAAGCAACCAUAAGCAACAGCCAAUAAGCAGAAGAGCCUCUUCUGCACUGACUUGUAUGGACUUCCAGCCUUGCUCAUUUUCCUUUUGCAGCCUCAACCUUAUCUAGAUUUUAAGAGACAGCCCUUUUUGUACUUCCUCCCACCCCGCACCCUCACCUCUUACUCUUAUUAAGUUUAAAGUGCAAAAAUGAUGCAAUUAAAACCUAUAUUGC
Long non-coding RNA from Homo sapiens (human), 292 nucleotides. Ensembl annotates it as long intergenic non-protein coding RNA 595. The record is from Ensembl. NCBI's taxonomy places the organism in Eukaryota, Metazoa, Chordata, Mammalia, Primates, Hominidae.